Molecule: ribosomal RNA, 469 nt
Filed under: uncultured bacterium
Lineage: Bacteria
Description: bacterial SSU rRNA
Rfam family: Bacterial small subunit ribosomal RNA
Source: RNAcentral
CCAGACUCCUACGGGAGGCAGCAGUGGGGAAUAUUGCACAAUGGGCGCAAGCCUGAUGCAGCCAUGCCGCGUGUAUGAAGAAGGCCUUCGGGUUGUAAAGUGCUUUCAGUCGGGAGGAAGGUGGUAAGGUUAAUAACCUUAUCAAUUGACGUUACCGACAGAAGAAGCACCGGCUAACUCCGUGCCAGCAGCCGCGGUAAUACGGGGGGUGCAAGCGUUAAUCGGAAUUACUGGGCGUAAAGCGCACGCAGGCGGUCUGUCAAGUCGGAUGUGAAAUCCCCGGGCUCAACCUGGGAACUGCAUUCGAAACUGGCGGGCUGGAGUCUUGUAGAGGGGGGUAGAAUUCCAGGUGUAGCGGUGAAAUGCGUAGAGAUCUGGAGGAAUACCGGUGGCGAAGGCGGCCCCCUGGACAAAGACUGACGCUCAGGUGCGAAAGCGUGGGGAGCAAACAGGAUUAGAUACCCGUGUA